RNAcentral lists this ribosomal RNA (374 nucleotides) under uncultured bacterium. Its description in RNAcentral is "bacterial SSU rRNA". It matches the Rfam family "Bacterial small subunit ribosomal RNA", at positions 525 to 896 of the family's 1533-position model. The record is from RNAcentral.
ACGUAGGGUGCAAGCGUUGUCCGGAAUUAUUGGGCGUAAAGAGCUCGUAGGCGGUUUGUCGCGUCUGCUGUGAAAACGCGAGGCUCAACCUCGCGCCUGCAGUGGGUACGGGCAGACUAGAGUGCGGUAGGGGAGAUUGGAAUUCCUGGUGUAGCGGUGGAAUGCGCAGAUAUCAGGAGGAACACCGAUGGCGAAGGCAGAUCUCUGGGCCGUUACUGACGCUGAGGAGCGAAAGCGUGGGGAGCGAACAGGAUUAGAUACCCUGGUAGUCCACGCCGUAAACGUUGGGAACUAGAUGUGGGGUCCAUUCCACGGAUUCCGUGUCGCAGCUAACGCAUUAAGUUCCCCGCCUGGGGAGUACGGCCGCAAGGCUA